AGAAUGUCAGAAAGUGAGGGUGAGACUCAACCCAUUCUUAUCUUAGUAUUUUUCAGUGAUCCCAAUGCCUACUCAAGCUUUACGUUUCAGUUCCGUGAUCAUAGUUUGUGAUUCCUGUAUAUGAUAGAGAGUCACGUACUCUUCCAGUUCCAAGAUAAUGAGUUCUAGUUCAUUCAAGUAGUCGGAAUCACAUUCCUUAUGUUAGGAACUCUAGUUGAGGUCAUGCAACUCAUGACGCAUGUACUCACUCUUUAUAGUGUGCUCAGUCCCGUAUAAAAAUCUUCUCAUGCUUCAGGGUCUUAUGUUUUAACCUUUUAGUGACCU
This 324-nucleotide long non-coding RNA is filed under the name Capsicum annuum. RNAcentral describes it as "long non-coding RNA (CANN_LNC009271)". The record is from RNAcentral. Lineage: Eukaryota; Viridiplantae; Streptophyta; Magnoliopsida; Solanales; Solanaceae.